UACGUAGGGGGCAAGCGUUAUCGGGAUUCACUGGGUGUAAAGGGAGCGUAGACGGCCAUGCAAGCCUGGAGUGAAAGCCCGGGGCCCAACCCCGGGACUGCUCUGGGAACUGUGCGGCUGGAGUGCGGGAGGGGCAGGCGGAAUUCCUGGUGUAGCGGUGAAAUGCGUAGAUAUCAGGGGGAACACCGGCGGCGAAGGCGGCCUGCUGGACCGCGACUGACGUUGAGGCUCGAAAGCGUGGGGAGCAAACAGG
RNAcentral lists this ribosomal RNA (253 nucleotides) under uncultured bacterium. RNAcentral's name for it is "partial 16S ribosomal RNA". It matches the Rfam family "Bacterial small subunit ribosomal RNA", at positions 524 to 776 of the family's 1533-position model. The record is from RNAcentral.